Molecule: long non-coding RNA, 505 nt
Organism: Hemibagrus wyckioides
Lineage: Eukaryota; Metazoa; Chordata; Actinopteri; Siluriformes; Bagridae
Exons: 3
Source: RefSeq, a predicted model, not a curated record
UUUGUACAGAAUGAUCAUGUAGCAGUUUGAAGCGAAAAAGGAAAACAGAUCAUUUUCCUUCCUCUCCUUUGAAACAGUGUGUCCCUUCCCCCGGCACGUGUUCCCGGCAGCAGGGCCGGUGAGGAGGAAUGAGUGUCUCCUCCUGCUGCUCUGGAGGGGAAGUGCACUCAGCAGGCGAUCUCAUCCAGCGUCCCCAGAGUGGUCUGUAAAGGAACACUGACUGUGUGGCUGAUGGUCUCUGAAUGAUUCACUACUGGAUCACACGUGCUCUGAGAAGGCAAUCACCUCCAUGUGUCUGAGAUUCUCAUUAGCAUGACAUCUCAAGAUCAAGUCCAUUAGACGUGAUUCCAAACCAAUUCAAGGUUACAAUUACCUCUCCAUAUAUCCCAAGAUCAUCCUGCUGUCUGAAGAAGGAGUGGCUGAGUGUUUAAAUAUUUGCAGGAUUAUGUGGCCUCAUCAUUAAAACCAGCAACUUGGAACAGGAUCAAAGCCCCGAGAAAGCAAA